UGCUCAGUAACACGUGGACAACCUGCCCUGAGGACUGGAAUAAUCCCGGGAAACUGGGGGUAAUUCCAGAUAUGUCAGAACUCCUGGAAUGGGUUCUGGCAGAAAGGCUCCGGCGCCUCAGGAUGGGUCUGCGGCCUAUCAGGGUAGUAGUGGGUGUAACGUACCUACUAGCCUACGACGGGUACGGGUUGUGAGAGCAAGAGCCCGGAGAUGGAUUCUGAGACAUGAAUCCAGGCCCUACGGGGUGCAGCAGGCGCGAAAACUUUACAAUGCGGGCAACCGCGAUAAGGGGACCUCGAGUGCUGGGUUACAAACCUGGCUGUUGGGCUGCCUAAAAAGCAGUCUAUAGCAAGGGCCGGGCAAGACCGGUGCCAGCCGCCGCGGUAACACCGGCGGCUCGAGUGGUAACCGCUAUUAUUGGGUCUAAAGGGUCUGUAGCCGGCCGACUAAGUCUCUUGGGAAAUCUGGCAUCUCAAGUGUCAGGCUGCCAGGGGAUACUGGUCGGCUUGGGACCGGGAGAGGUGAGAGGUACCUCGGGGGUAGGGGGUGAAAUCUUGUAAUCCUCGAGGGACCACCAGUGGCGAAGGCGUCUCACCAGAACGGAUCCGACGGCAAGGGACGAAAGCUAGGGGCACGAACCGGAUUAGAUACCCGGGUAGUCCUAGCCGUAAACGAUACUCGCUAGGUGUCGGCCACGGUGCGACCGUGGUCGGUGCCGUAGGGAAGCCGUGAAGCGAGCCACCUGGGAAGUACGGCCGCAAGGCUGAAACUUAAAGGAAUUGGCGGGGGA
RNAcentral lists this ribosomal RNA (790 nucleotides) under uncultured Methanosaeta sp. RNAcentral's name for it is "bacterial SSU rRNA". It matches the Rfam family "Archaeal small subunit ribosomal RNA", at positions 87 to 875 of the family's 1478-position model. The record is from RNAcentral. Lineage: Archaea; Methanobacteriati; Methanobacteriota; Methanomicrobia; Methanotrichales; Methanotrichaceae.